Molecule: ribosomal RNA, 903 nt
Filed under: uncultured korarchaeote
Lineage: Archaea; Thermoproteati; Thermoproteota
Description: bacterial SSU rRNA
Rfam family: Archaeal small subunit ribosomal RNA
Source: RNAcentral
GGGGACCCCUAUCGGGCUCGGACUAAGCCAUGCGAGUCGGCUGGGGGCCCUUGCCCCUGGCGGCGCACGGCUCAGUAAUACACGGUCAACCUGCCCUGGGGACCGGGAUAACCUCGGGAAACUGAGGCUAAUCCCGGAUAGGGGUGGAUUCCUGGAAUGGGUCCACCCCCAAAGUAGGCGGGGGAAUGGCCCCGCUGAGGCCCCAGGAUGGGACCGUGGCCCAUCAGGUAGUAGGUGGGGUAACGGCCCACCUAGCCUAAGACGGGUGCGGGCGGUGGGAGCCGGAGCCCGGAGAUGGGCACUGAGACAAGGGCCUAGGCCCUACGGGGCGCAGCAGGCUCGAAACUUCCCCAAUGCGCGCAAGCGUGAGGGAGUGAGCCCGAGUGCCGCCCGCUGAGGGCGGCUGUUCCCGGGUGUAAACAGCCCGGGGUUAGGAAGGGGAGGGUAAGGCUGGUGCCAGCCGCCGCGGUAAAACCAGCUCCUCGAGGGGUCCCCACGCAUACUGGGCCUAAAGCGUCCGUAGCCGGCCCCGUAAGUCCCCGGUUAAAUCCACCGGAAGACCGGUGGGCCGCCGGGGAUACUGCGGGGCUAGGGAGCGGGAGGGGCCGAGGGUAUUCCGGGGGAUAGCGGUAAAAUGCGUAGAUCCCCGGAGGACCACCAGUGGCGAAGGCGCUCGGCUGGAACGCGUCCGACGGUGAGGGACGAAAGCUGGGGGAGCAAACCGGAUUAGAUACCCGGGUAGUCCCAGCCGUAAACGAUGCCGGCUAGGUGCCGGCCGAGGUUUCGGCCUCGGCCGGUGUCGAAGCGAAGGCGUUAAGCCGGCCGCCUGAGGAGUACGGCCGCAAGGCUGAAACUUGAAGGAAUUGACGGGGGGGCACCACAAGGGGUGAAUGCCUGCGGCUC